GAUGAACGCUGGCGGCGUGCCUAAUACAUGCAAGUCGAGCGAACAGAUAAGGAGCUUGCUCCUUUGACGUUAGCGGCGGACGGGUGAGUAACACGUGGGUAACCUACCUAUAAGACUGGAAUAACUCCGGGAAACCGGGGCUAAUGCCGGAUAACAUUUAGAACCGCAUGGUUCUAAAGUGAAAGAUGGUUUUACUAUCACUUAUAGAUGGACCCGCGCCGUAUUAGCUAGUUGGUAAGGUAACGGCUUACCAAGGCAACGAUACGUAGCCGACCUGGGAGGGUGAUCGGCCACACUGGAACUGAGACACGGUCCAGACUCCUACGGGAGGCAGCAGUAGGGAAUCUUCCGCAAUGGGCGAAAGCCUGACGGAGCAACGCCGCGUGAGUGAUGAAGGUCUUCGGAUCGUAAAACUCUGUUAUUAGGGAAGAACAAAUGUGUAAGUAACUGUGCACGUCUUGACGGUACCUAAUCAGAAAGCCACGGCUAACUACGUG
This 497-nucleotide ribosomal RNA is filed under the name uncultured bacterium. Its description in RNAcentral is "partial 16S ribosomal RNA". It matches the Rfam family "Bacterial small subunit ribosomal RNA", at positions 28 to 507 of the family's 1533-position model. The record is from RNAcentral.